AGUGAACGCUGGCGGUAGGCCUAACACAUGCAAGUCGAGGGGGAGGGCAGCAAUGCCCGAGACCGGCGCACGGGUGAGUAACGCGUAUGCAACCUACCUUCUACAGGGGGAUAGCCCAGGGAAACUUGGAUUAAUACCGCAUAGUUCCCAGAACCUGCAUAGGCUUUGGGAUAAAGAUUUAUCGGUAGAAGAUGGGCAUGCGUGACAUUAGGUAGUUGGCGGGGUAACGGCCCACCAAGCCGACGAUGUCUAGGGGUUCUGAGAGGAUGAUCCCCCAACUGGUACUGAGACACGGACCAGACUCCUACGGGAGGCAGCAGUGAGGAAUAUUGGUCAAUGGGCGCAAGCCUGAACCAGCCAUCCCGCGUGAAGG
RNAcentral lists this ribosomal RNA (373 nucleotides) under uncultured bacterium. RNAcentral's name for it is "bacterial SSU rRNA". It matches the Rfam family "Bacterial small subunit ribosomal RNA", at positions 29 to 407 of the family's 1533-position model. The record is from RNAcentral.